CGGCAGCCUGCACAUAGCAGCCCAGCUCUCCAGCAGCCUGACGGACCGACCGUGUGUCUGUUCCACGCCGGACUGGCGAGCGUGGCUCUGGCGGCAGCGCCGCGCAUGCGCAGUGCAGCGCCACGCCCCCUCCCCGGAACCGGCUGCCGGCAGCCGGUGUGCAGGGGCUGCUGUGAGCCGAGGGAGGAGCGGAGGCGUCGCCGGGCUGCGGCUGCACGGAGGGAGAAGGCCGCGCUGAGGACGUGGUUGCCCGUCCCUCCCUUGGGGAUGCCGUCGACUGCACCCGCCUCGCCUGUGCCUGGCCUGGCUCGCCUCGUGGCGUGGGGGCGAAAAGGGACAGGCGGCGGAGCGCUUACCGGCCGUGGACAGGAGCUGCCCUAAGGGAAGCUGGAAUGGCCAGAGAAAGGUGAAGAAGAAGAAGAAGAAGAAGAGAUGGAAGGCUCUCCGGCCGGCAGCUGCCUCCCGCUGCAGGCAAGAGAGCGCCUGCC
Long non-coding RNA from Grus americana (Whooping crane), 488 nucleotides. RefSeq lists it as uncharacterized. The transcript is spliced from 3 exons. The record is from RefSeq and is a predicted model, not a curated record. NCBI's taxonomy places the organism in Eukaryota, Metazoa, Chordata, Aves, Gruiformes, Gruidae.